RNAcentral lists this transfer RNA (30 nucleotides) under Ctenitis eatonii. Its description in RNAcentral is "partial tRNA-Phe". Lineage: Eukaryota; Viridiplantae; Streptophyta; Polypodiopsida; Polypodiales; Dryopteridaceae. RNAcentral also lists the same sequence under 5 other names. The record is from RNAcentral.
CUCAGUCGGUAGAGCAGAGGACUGAAAAUC